UACGGAAGGCAGCAGUGGGGAAUAUUGCACAAUGGGCGCAAGCCUGAUGCAGCCAUGCCGCGUGUAUGAAGAAGGCCUUCGGGUUGUAAAGUACUUUCAGUCGUGAGGAAGGUGUUAAGGUUAAUAACCUUAGCAAUUGACGUUAGCGACAGAAGAAGCACCGGCUAACUCCGUGCCAGCAGCCGCGGUAAUACGGAGGGUGCGAGCGUUAAUCGGAAUUACUGGGCGUAAAGGGCACGCAGGCGGUUAAUUAAGUUGGAUGUGAAAUCCCCGGGCUUAACCUGGGAAUGGCAUUCAAGACUGGUUAGCUAGAGUCUUGUAGAGGGGGUAGAAUUCCAUGUGUAGCGGUGAAAUGCGUAGAGAUGUGGAGGAAUACCGGUGGCGAAGGCGGCCCCUGGGACAAAGGCUGACGCUCAUGUGCGAAAGCGUGGGGAGGCAACAGGGAUUAGAUACC
This 454-nucleotide ribosomal RNA is filed under the name uncultured bacterium. Its description in RNAcentral is "bacterial SSU rRNA". It matches the Rfam family "Bacterial small subunit ribosomal RNA", at positions 340 to 786 of the family's 1533-position model. The record is from RNAcentral.